RNAcentral lists this ribosomal RNA (1122 nucleotides) under Lycoriella lundstromi. RNAcentral describes it as "eukaryotic LSU rRNA". It matches the Rfam family "Eukaryotic large subunit ribosomal RNA", at positions 682 to 1660 of the family's 3401-position model. Lineage: Eukaryota; Metazoa; Arthropoda; Insecta; Diptera; Sciaridae. The record is from RNAcentral.
GUGUGCGAGUCAUUGGGUAUAUUGUUGAAACCUAAGGGCGCAAUUAAAAUAACUAUUUUAUGGGAUUACAAGUGAAUUAAAUUUCAUUUCUUCAUCCCGGGGCGUUCUAUACGAACAUGGUGCAAGCAAUUGAACCCUCUGUUCAAGAGCGUACCUUGAGCAUACAUGCUGUGACCCGAAAGAUGGUGAACUAUACCUGAUCAGAUCGAAGCCAGGAGAAAUUCUGGUGGAGGAUCGAAACAGUUCUGACGUGCAAAUCGAUUGUCAGAAUUGGGUAUAGGGGCGAAAGACCAAUCGAACCAUCUAGUAGCUGGUUCCCUCCGAAGUUUCCCUCAGGAUAGCUGGCGCAAAGAAUUAUAUUGUAUAUAAUCUUAUCUGGUAAAGCGAAUGAUUAGAGGCCUUGGGGCCGAAACGACCUCAACCUAUUCUCAAACUUUAAAUGGGUAAGAACCUCAUCUUUCUUGAUCUGAAGAUAUUGGGGUUUAGAUAUAUUGUGCCCAGUGGGCCACUUUUGGUAAGCAGAACUGGCGCUGUGGGAUGAACCAAACAUGAUGUUACGGCGCCUAAAUUAAUGACUCAUAUUGAUACCAUGAAAGGCGUUGGUUGCUUAAAACAGCAGGACGGUGGACAUGGAAGUCGUAAUCCGCUAAGGAGUGUGUAACAACUCACCUGCCGAAGCAACUAGCCCUUAAAAUGGAUGGCGCUCAAGUCAUAUGCCUAUACAUCAUCGCUAGAAUAAARAUUGUUGACCGUUUUGCGGUCAUCAGUAUGAAAUUCUAGUGAGUAGGAGGGUACAAUGGUGUGCGCAGAAGUGUUUGGCGUGAGCCUGCAUGAAGCCGCCAUUGGCACAGAUCUUGGUGGUAGUAGCAAAUAAUCGAAUGAGAUCUUGGAGGACUGAAGUGGAGAAGGGUUUCGUGUGAACAGUGGUUGAUCACGAGUUAGUCGGUCCUAAGCUUUAUGCGAAAGCUGUUUAAUUUAUGUUACACACACUAAUUAAUUUUUGUUGUACAUAAUUCAAUAAAAGCGAAAGGGAAUACGGUUCCAAUUCCGUAACCUGUUGAGUAUACGUUUGUUUAUUAAAAAUGGGUCUUAUUACACUCAUCCUGGCAACAGGAACGACCA